ACUCCUACGGGAGGCAGCAGUGGGGAAUAUUGCACAAUGGGCGAAAGCCUGAUGCAGCAACGCCGCGUGAGUGAUGAAGGCCUUCGGGUUGUAAAGCUCUGUCUUCUGGGACGAUAAUGACGGUACCAGAGGAGGAAGCCACGGCUAACUACGUGCCAGCAGCCGCGGUAAU
Molecule: ribosomal RNA, 172 nt
Filed under: uncultured bacterium
Lineage: Bacteria
Description: partial 16S ribosomal RNA
Rfam family: Bacterial small subunit ribosomal RNA
Source: RNAcentral